RNAcentral lists this transfer RNA (72 nucleotides) under Camelus bactrianus (Bactrian camel). It matches the Rfam family "tRNA". From Rfam's summary of the family: Transfer RNA (tRNA) molecules are approximately 80 nucleotides in length. Their secondary structure includes four short double-helical elements and three loops (D, anti-codon, and T loops). Further hydrogen bonds mediate the characteristic L-shaped molecular structure. tRNAs have two regions of fundamental functional importance: the anti-codon, which is responsible for specific mRNA codon recognition, and the 3' end, to which the tRNAs corresponding amino acid is attached (by aminoacyl-tRNA synthetases). tRNAs cope with the degeneracy of the genetic code in two manners: having more than one tRNA (with a specific anti-codon) for a particular amino acid; and 'wobble' base-pairing, i.e. permitting non-standard base-pairing at the 3rd anti-codon position. RNAcentral also lists the same sequence under 1 other name. The record is from Rfam by way of RNAcentral. Lineage: Eukaryota; Metazoa; Chordata; Mammalia; Artiodactyla; Camelidae.
GAGGGCACAGCUCAGUGGUAGAGCGCCUGCUUAGCAUGCAUGAGGUCCUGGGUUCAAUCCCCAGCACCUCCA